This 1343-nucleotide ribosomal RNA is filed under the name uncultured bacterium. RNAcentral describes it as "16S ribosomal RNA". It matches the Rfam family "Bacterial small subunit ribosomal RNA", at positions 28 to 1378 of the family's 1533-position model. The record is from RNAcentral.
GACGAACGCUUGCGGCGUGCUUAACACAUGCAAGUCGAACGGAAAGGCCCUGCUUUUGUGGGGUGCUCGAGUGGCGAACGGGUGAGUAACACGUGAGUAACCUGCCCUUGACUUUGGGAUAACUUCAGGAAACUGGGGCUAAUACCGGAUAGGAGCUCCUGCUGCAUGGUGGGGGUUGGAAAGUUUCGGCGGUUGGGGAUGGACUCGCGGCUUAUCAGCUUGUUGGUGGGGUAGUGGCUUACCAAGGCUUUGACGGGUAGCCGGCCUGAGAGGGUGACCGGCCACAUUGGGACUGAGAUACGGCCCAGACUCCUACGGGAGGCAGCAGUGGGGAAUAUUGCACAAUGGGCGGAAGCCUGAUGCAGCAACGCCGCGUGCGGGAUGACGGCCUUCGGGUUGUAAACCGCUUUCGCCUGUGACGAAGCGUGAGUGACGGUAAUGGGUAAAGAAGCACCGGCUAACUACGUGCCAGCAGCCGCGGUGAUACGUAGGGUGCGAGCGUUGUCCGGAUUUAUUGGGCGUAAAGGGCUCGUAGGUGGUUGAUCGCGUCGGAAGUGUAAUCUUGGGGCUUAACCCUGAGCGUGCUUUCGAUACGGGUUGACUUGAGGAAGGUAGGGGAGAAUGGAAUUCCUGGUGGAGCGGUGGAAUGCGCAGAUAUCAGGAGGAACACCAGUGGCGAAGGCGGUUCUCUGGGCCUUUCCUGACGCUGAGGAGCGAAAGCGUGGGGAGCGAACAGGCUUAGAUACCCUGGUAGUCCACGCUGUAAACGGUGGGUACUAGGUGUGGGGUCCGUUCCACGGGUUCCGUGCCGUAGCUAACGCUUUAAGUACCCCGCCUGGGGAGUACGGCCGCAAGGCUAAAACUCAAAGGAAUUGACGGGGCCCCGCACAAGCGGCGGAGCAUGCGGAUUAAUUCGAUGCAACGCGUAGAACCUUACCUGGGUUUGACAUGGAUCGGGAGUGCUCAGAGAUGGGUGUGCCUCUUUUGGGGUCGGUUCACAGGUGGUGCAUGGCUGUCGUCAGCUCGUGUCGUGAGAUGUUGGGUUAAGUCCCGCAACGAGCGCAACCCUUGUUCACUGUUGCCAGCACGUUAUGGUGGGGACUCAGUGGAGACCGCCGGGGUCAACUCGGAGGAAGGUGGGGAUGACGUCAAGUCAUCAUGCCCCUUAUGUCCAGGGCUUCACGCAUGCUACAAUGGCUGGUACAGAGAGUGGCGAGCCUGUGAGGGUGAGCGAAUCUCGGAAAGCCGGUCUCAGUUCGGAUUGGGGUCUGCAACUCGACCUCAUGAAGUCGGAGUCGCUAGUAAUCGCAGAUCAGCAACGCUGCGGUGAAUACGUUCCCGGG